This 358-nucleotide unclassified non-coding RNA is filed under the name soil metagenome. Its description in RNAcentral is "partial contains 5.8S ribosomal RNA, internal transcribed spacer 2, and large subunit ribosomal RNA". The stretch from base 1 to 120 matches the Rfam family "5.8S ribosomal RNA", at positions 35 to 154 of the family's 154-position model. The record is from RNAcentral.
GAUGAAGAACGCAGCGAAAUGCGAUAAGUAAUGUGAAUUGCAGAAUUCAGUGAAUCAUCGAAUCUUUGAACGCACAUUGCGCCCGUCAGUAUUCUGGCGGGCAUGCCUGUUCGAGCGUCAUUACGCCCCUCAAGUCCCCUGGGGACUUGGUGUUGGGGAGCGGCGAGGCUGGUUUUCCAGCACAGCCGUCCCUUAAAUUAAUUGGCGGUCUCGCCGUGGCCCUCCUCUGCGCAGUAGUAAAACACUCGCAACAGGAGCCCGGCGCGGUCCACUGCCGUAAAACCCCCCAACUUUUUAUAGUUGACCUCGAAUCAGGUAGGACUACCCGCUGAACUUAAGCAUAUCAAUAAGCGGAGGA